Molecule: ribosomal RNA, 460 nt
Filed under: uncultured bacterium
Lineage: Bacteria
Description: partial 16S ribosomal RNA
Rfam family: Bacterial small subunit ribosomal RNA
Source: RNAcentral
CCUACGGGAGGCAGCAGUGAGGAAUAUUGGUCAAAGGACGAGAGUCUGAACCAGCCAAGUAGCGUGAAGGAUGACUGCCCUAUGGGUUGUAAACUUCUUUUAUAUGGGAAUAAAAUGUUCCACGUGUGGGAUUUUGUAUGUACCAUAUGAAUAAGGAUCGGCUAACUCCGUGCCAGCAGCCGCGGUAAUACGGAGGAUCCGAGCGUUAUCCGGAUUUAUUGGGUUUAAAGGGAGCGUAGGUGGAUUGUUAAGUCAGUUGUGAAAGUUUGCGGCUCAACCGUAAAAUUGCAGUUGAAACUGGCAGUCUUGAGUACAGUAGAGGUGGGCGGAAUUCGUGGUGUAGCGGUGAAAUGCUUAGAUAUCACGAAGAACUCCGAUUGCGAAGGCAGUUCACUGGACUGCAACUGACACUGAGGCUCGAAAGUGUGGGUAUCAAACAGGAUUAGAUACCCGAGUAGUC